Molecule: ribosomal RNA, 253 nt
Filed under: uncultured bacterium
Lineage: Bacteria
Description: partial 16S ribosomal RNA
Rfam family: Bacterial small subunit ribosomal RNA
Source: RNAcentral
UACGUAGGUGGCAAGCGUUGUCCGGAAUUACUGGGCGUAAAGGGUGUGUAGGCGGAUAUUUAAGUAGAAAGUGAAAGGUUGGAGCUCAACUCCAACAUUGCUUCCUAUACUGGAUGUCUUGAGUUUCGGAGAGGAAGAUGGAACGACACGUGUAGCGGUGAAAUGCGUUGAUAUGUGUCGGAACACCAAUAGCGAAGGCAGCUUACUACAGGAUGAUUGACGCUGAGGCACGAAAGCGUGGGGAGCAAACAGG